GGGGCUGCACUGGAAUACCUCAUAGAAAGGUUUCCAGUUCAUAAAACACUUUCAAAACAUGCUCAGCCCUUUCAAGUUGUGGGGACAUUAUCAUUUCUAUCUAUGGCAUUUCUCUGCAAAUUGAACUCAAAUAUCCUUUGGGCUGACUACAUAGGGAACAGAAGAAAGAGGUGGAAGAAACUUGGACUAAAGAUUGCCUCCCUGAAAAGGUUUCCUUCAGGCGGAAUUAGGUGGGAACAAAUGACAUCAGAAAAUAGCAUGUCAGUGUACCGCUGCCAGCUCCAUAUGGUUCGGCUUGUUUUUCACAGAUUUUUUCCCACCUGUUCGCUUCUGUGUCCCCCACCGAGGACGUGCUCCCCACGAGGGCUGAAGGCAGUGUUGAAGAUGUGACCUCAGCCCUGAAUCACCAAGAUGACCCAGAGCGCUGACGAUCUGAUGAAUGGAACCUGGUCCAUCAGGC
RNAcentral lists this long non-coding RNA (460 nucleotides) under Microcebus murinus (gray mouse lemur). RNAcentral describes it as "lncRNA (ENSMICG00000048803.1)". The record is from RNAcentral. Lineage: Eukaryota; Metazoa; Chordata; Mammalia; Primates; Cheirogaleidae.